AUUUACCAAAUAAGAUUCUGAAGAUAGGAGUGUGAAUGCAUGAUGGGAGAGAGAUAACAAGAAAGGGCUUUACAAAGAGCUCACUUCACAGACAGAAAUGACACAGAAAGGUAAAGAGCCUGGUCCAGGAUAACACAAUGAUUGUUCAAUUAUCAGAAUAUGUUGAUUAUUCUUGCCACUGGUGAACAAAGUCUAAAGAAAACUCUUCAGCACGGUUCUUCUAGCAGUCUGCUCAGCCUUACCUGCAACCCGUAACUGCUGCUAGGAGAUAAACUGAGGAAACCACAGAGCAAGGCUUUGCUCAGGCAGCCUCUACAUUGCAACCCCUUCGCUUUUGCCCUUUCUAACACCCUUGGCAUUUUACUUGUACCUAGUUUACCACUUCUUACUGUUUCUGAACAACAAUCAAACAGUCCCAUCUCCAG
Long non-coding RNA from Alligator sinensis (Chinese alligator), 425 nucleotides. RefSeq lists it as uncharacterized. The record is from RefSeq and is a predicted model, not a curated record. Lineage: Eukaryota; Metazoa; Chordata; Crocodylia; Alligatoridae. The transcript is spliced from 3 exons.